This 208-nucleotide ribosomal RNA is filed under the name uncultured bacterium. Its description in RNAcentral is "partial 16S ribosomal RNA". It matches the Rfam family "Bacterial small subunit ribosomal RNA", at positions 568 to 774 of the family's 1533-position model. The record is from RNAcentral.
CGUGUAGGCGGGCCGGCACGUCGACUGCUGAAAUCCCCCGGCUCAACCGGGGAAGUGGCAUCGAUACGACCGGCCUGGAGGGGGGUAGGGGGGACGGGAACUUCCGGUGGAGCGGUGAAAUGCGUUGAGAUCGGAAGGAACGCCCGCGGCGAAAGCGCGUCCCUGGACCCCACCUGACGCUGAGACGCGAAAGCCAGGGGAGCGAACG